UAAACAAGUCCCCCAGUCCAUUUAAUUAAAGCACGUCUGUAAAUUUAACCAAGACAGUGCUCUAAAAUACAGGAGUUGUGAACUAGUAACCAACAUCAAAAGCAAAAGCCCAAGUGAGCAGAUGCAGACGGCACCACAAGGCCGGCAUCGGAGAGGUCAACUGGCAGCUUCAGAGCUGGUGUUACCAGGCGGGCUUUGGAUUCUUUGACCAUGACCCACACUUCUGUGCAGGAGACAUGCUAGGGCAGGAUGGGUUGCACCUCUACCCAAAAGGUAAUGUGUUUUCUCUUCCAGGUUGGCUUAUCUCUUAUGGUGAGCUUUAAGCUAGGUUCAUCGGAGGAUUGGGAUGCAAACAUGCAGGAGGACACUUUGACAUCAAGCCAGGUGAUGCAAGUGGGAACAACCCAGAGUCUCACAUGAACGUCAGAUCUAUUCCUGAUUAGAACUCCCAAGGAUCAAAAAGAAAGCUUGCUGCCUCAGUUCAUGACUCGAUUAGCCUAAAUAGAACAACUUGUCUUAAGAACUGUGAGUGCUCAAUACCUCUAAAACUCAAAGAAGUGAUAUGGGCUUUCUACUAUAAACCAUUAGGCCCAUAUGCAGCCAAGUUACCCUAUUAACUUCAGCUCGACUAUCCUGUGCAUAAAGUGGAAAAGCAGUUCAGGACCAGUUCAUCCAUGUGAAAAAUAUGACCCCUGUAUCCUAUCAAGGUCAGCAAGCCUGCUUAGUGCAUAAAGGAGAAGAGGUCACUUGUGCACGAGGGAUAAAGAGGCUAAAAUCACCUAUAGAAAAAAAUUUACUCUCUGUGAAAUCCAAAAAAAAAAUGAAGUCGUAAAGAGAAGAAAGAAACUGAGAUUAAAAUUUCAGAGGGAUUUUAGGUAGAUGAAAUAAGGCUCUUCCUACUGGAAAUUGGUUAAGACAACAGAGUUGCUCAUUUUACAAAAAAUGGAAGUUGCUUGGUGUGAUGACCAUGGCCACAAGUAGGAGAGAACCUCAUGGAAGAAGGGAUACAUUUUUUAACCAGGUGGACCCAAUUUCCUCUUUGUUUGGUAUUGGACUGAGAAAAAUAUGGACCACUAAUUCCCUUUUCUUUUCUGUUAUUACUCAACUGUGGAAGCCUAGUUUCAAGAGAAAACAAAUGAACAAAUAAGAAGCAAAGUGAAAAAAAUCUGUCUUACCUUAACAUUGAA
Molecule: long non-coding RNA, 1187 nt
Organism: Alligator sinensis (Chinese alligator)
Lineage: Eukaryota; Metazoa; Chordata; Crocodylia; Alligatoridae
Exons: 8
Source: RefSeq, a predicted model, not a curated record